RNAcentral lists this ribosomal RNA (549 nucleotides) under uncultured Glomus. RNAcentral's name for it is "SSU rRNA". It matches the Rfam family "Eukaryotic small subunit ribosomal RNA", at positions 548 to 1098 of the family's 1831-position model. Lineage: Eukaryota; Fungi; Glomeromycota; Glomeromycetes; Glomerales; Glomeraceae. The record is from RNAcentral.
UUGGAGGGCAAGUCUGGUGCCAGCAGCCGCGGUAAUUCCAGCUCCAAUAGCGUAUAUUAAAGUUGUUGCAGUUAAAAAGCUCGUAGUUGAAUUUCGGGGUCAGUAGGUUGGUCGUGCCACAGGUAUGUACUGAUCUUACUGAUUCCUCCUUCCUGAUGAACCGUAAUGCCAUUAAUUUGGUGUUGCGGGGAAACUGGACUGUUACUUUGAAAAAAUUAGAGUGUUUAAAGCAGGCUAACGCUUGAAUACAUUAGCAUGGAAUAAUGAAAUAGGACGUUCGAUCCUAUUUUGUUGGUUUCUAGGAUUGACGUAAUGAUUAAUAGGGAUAGUUGGGGGCAUUAGUAUUCAAUUGUCAGAGGUGAAAUUCUUGGAUUUAUUGAAGACUAACUACUGCGAAAGCAUUUGCCAAGGAUGUUUUCAUUAAUCAAGAACGAAAGUUAGGGGAUCGAAGACGAUCAGAUACCGUCGUAGUCUUAACCAUAAACUAUGCCGACUAGGGAUCGGAUGAUGUUAAUUUUUUAAUGACUCAUUCGGCGCCUUACGGGAAAC